Molecule: ribosomal RNA, 1431 nt
Filed under: uncultured organism
Description: SSU rRNA
Rfam family: Bacterial small subunit ribosomal RNA
Source: RNAcentral
UUAACACAUGCAAGUCGAGGGGCAUCAGGAAGAAAGCUUGCUUUCUUUGCUGGCGACCGGCGCACGGGUGAGUAACACGUAUCCAACCUGCCCUUUACUCGGGGAUAGCCUUUCGAAAGAAAGAUUAAUACCCGAUAGCAUAAUGAUUCCGCAUGGUUUCAUUAUUAAAGGAUUCCGGUAAAGGAUGGGGAUGCGUUCCAUUAGGUUGUUGGUGAGGUAACGGCCCACCAAGCCUUCGAUGGAUAGGGGUUCUGAGAGGAAGGUCCCCCACAUUGGAACUGAGACACGGUCCAAACUCCUACGGGAGGCAGCAGUGAGGAAUAUUGGUCAAUGGGCGCUAGCCUGAACCAGCCAAGUAGCGUGAAGGAUGAAGGCUCUAUGGGUCGUAAACUUCUUUUAUAUAAGAAUAAAGUGCAGUAUGUAUACUGUUUUGUAUGUAUUAUAUGAAUAAGGAUCGGCUAACUCCGUGCCAGCAGCCGCGGUAAUACGGAGGAUCCGAGCGUUAUCCGGAUUUAUUGGGUUUAAAGGGAGCGUAGGUGGACUGGUAAGUCAGUUGUGAAAGUUUGCGGCUCAACCGUAAAAUUGCAGUUGAUACUGUCAGUCUUGAGUACAGUAGAGGUGGGCGGAAUUCGUGGUGUAGCGGUGAAAUGCUUAGAUAUCACGAAGAACUCCGAUUGCGAAGGCAGCUCACUGGACUGCAACUGACACUGAUGCUCGAAAGUGUGGGUAUCAAACAGGAUUAGAUACCCUGGUAGUCCACACAGUAAACGAUGAAUACUCGCUGUUUGCGAUAUACAGUAAGCGGCCAAGCGAAAGCAUUAAGUAUUCCACCUGGGGAGUACGCCGGCAACGGUGAAACUCAAAGGAAUUGACGGGGGCCCGCACAAGCGGAGGAACAUGUGGUUUAAUUCGAUGAUACGCGAGGAACCUUACCCGGGCUUAAAUUGCAGUGGAAUGAUGUGGAAACAUGUCAGUGAGCAAUCACCGCUGUGAAGGUGCUGCAUGGUUGUCGUCAGCUCGUGCCGUGAGGUGUCGGCUUAAGUGCCAUAACGAGCGCAACCCUUAUCUUCAGUUACUAACAGGUUAUGCUGAGGACUCUGGAGAGACUGCCGUCGUAAGAUGUGAGGAAGGUGGGGAUGACGUCAAAUCAGCACGGCCCUUACGUCCGGGGCUACACACGUGUUACAAUGGGGGGUACAGAAGGCAGCUACCUGGUGACAGGAUGCUAAUCCCAAAAGCCUCUCUCAGUUCGGAUCGAAGUCUGCAACCCGACUUCGUGAAGCUGGAUUCGCUAGUAAUCGCGCAUCAGCCACGGCGCGGUGAAUACGUUCCCGGGCCUUGUACACACCGCCCGUCAAGCCAUGGGAGCCGGGGGUACCUGAAGUACGUAACCGCAAGGAUCGUCCUAGGGUAAAACUGGUGACUGGGGCU